CCCCCUCUCUCUCUCUCUCUCUCCGUCUCUCUCUCUCUCAAUCGAGCUCGCCUCCUCCCUCCCUUGUAUUGGCCGCUGGUAAGAUUUCCUUGCUUAGGCCCUCUAUAUUGUUCUACCAAAACAAGGCGACCCGAUCGCUGAGGAAGGGGAGCCUGCCCGCCUUCGAUCCGAUCCGAGAAUCAUGGUUGUGGAGACCCUAGAGCAUGAUACUACUCAAGACAACGUCAAAGGAACUGAAGGGGACACUAAACAGGGACAGGGGCCUGAGGAACCAGUGAGUUUUGGUUUGGUAGAUAAUUCAAAUGGUGCAAAUGGAGAUGUCAAAGAAGGGGAUCACCUGACCGAUGCAAAUCUUCCAAAGGAUGCUGUGGAUGAGUGGCCUGCUGCAAAAAAAAUUCACACUUUUUAUUUUAUCAGGUACAGGACCAUUGAAGACCCUAAACUUAAGGCAAAAAUUGACCAUGCUGACAAGGAGAUCACAAAGAGUACCCAAUCCAGGCUUCAGAUAACUGAAGCAUUGAAGGCAAAACGGUCUGAAAGAUCAAAUGUGAUUUCACAACUAAAGCCUCUGACUGCUGAGGACAAACAGUACCGUAUGAUUAUGGAUGAAAAGAGAAAGUCGAUGGAACCUCUUCAAGAUGCUCUAGGAAAGCUGCGCAGUGCAAAUAUUGCUGUGAGGGAAAAAGGCGUGGGUUUGUGUUCUUCAGAGGAAGAGCUUAAUGAUCUUAUCUAUAGCUUGCACUACCGUAUGCAGCAUGAGACUCUCACCUUGGUUGAAGAAAAACAGUUGAUUAAAGAGAUUAAACUACUAGAAGGAACAAGAGAAAAAGUUAUUGCUAAUGCUACUGAGAAGGCUAAGAUUCAAGAUUCUUAUGGUCAUAGAGAUGCUAUUCAAGGCCAGGUCAAACUAAUAAAUGAUGACAUUGGCGGAAUAAAAAAGGAGAAACAGGCAGUUCGAAUGAAAAUAAAAGACCUUGAGGAAGAACUGAAGGCCAUAGACGAUGAAAUCAGUUCCUUACAAGAAGAGUUGGAUGUCAUCAAUAAGAAAAGGAAUAAGGCAUAUGAAACUCUUAUUGAGUUGAGAAAAUCUCGUGAUGAAGUGAAUGCUUGUUAUUUCCAAAAUCGUUCCUUGUUAAAUCGUGCAAAGGAUCUUGCUGCAAAGAAGGAUAUAACAUCACUGGAAGACCUAAUGCAUAGUGAGGUAGAGCAAUUUAUGUCCGAGUGGAGUAGUAAUAAAGCCUUCAGAGAAGAUUAUGAGAAGAGAAUAUUGUCAUCACUUGACAGUAGGCAACUGAGUAGGGAUGGACGGAUGAGGAACCCUGAUGAGAAGCCCAUUAUCUCUGAGGCACCGGCGACCAGAGAUGUUGAGAACUUGCCGGCAAAAGUGAAUGCCAAACAAGCAUCGAGUGCUAAAGAAGCGAAGGAAGAUAAACUUGUACCUCCACAGCAGGAUGUUAUUUCUAACAAAAAGGUACAAGACACCAACAUUAAGAAAUCACCUGAGGUAGAAUCCAGAGGAAAGGUGGGAGAUCCUGUGGGCACUGGGGAUAGUUACACCCCUGAGAAAUCUCAGAAGGAGCUUCCAAAACCGACCGAGAAUGAUGUUGCAAAACUCAAGGAGAUCAAGAGAGAAGAGGAGAUUGCAAAAGCUAAGUUGGCCUUGGAGAGGAAAAAGAAGCAAGCUGAAAAAGCAGCAGCAAAGGCAGUCGUAAGAGCCCAAAAGGAAGCUGAAAAGAAACUGAAGGAAAAAGAGAAGAGAGCGAAGAAGAAGGCUGGGGCAUCGGCACCGGCUGAUAGCACGGAUGAGGCUGACGCAGAAGCAAAGGUUUCAGAGCCAGAAGAAGCUACUGUUGAUGCACCAGUUGCGGAGAAAACCAAGGAACAGAAAGAAACUGUCAGGUACAGAAACCGACCAAGGGGUCGAGAUCAGGUUCCAAAGGUCAUUCUGAGGAGGAAAAAACAACAAUCAUAUUGGAUAUGGGCUGCACCUGCAGCAGCGGUGGCUGCCUUGCUGCUGGUGUCCCUGGGUUACUACUUCAUUGUCGCCAGGAAGCAAGCAUGAAUCAUUUAGUGAGGAUGUGGACCAGUUUUGAAGUUGGGAGAACCAGGAUGAAGAAACACCCUUUUAGUGAGAACUUUAUGUUGUCUAGACUGACGUGACCGACCCUGAAACCAAGUGGGAAGUAAUGAGUUCUGAAUCGGAUUCCGAUCCAUCUUUCUAACUUUCUGUCCUACUAUUACUACUUUCUCAAGAGACUACUACAUUUCUGCGAAAAAUAUGUAUUGGCUACUAAAAGAUAAGAGUAUAUCGUGCUUUGAUAAUUAAUUUAAUUAUAUUUAGAA
Musa acuminata AAA Group (dessert banana) is the source of this 2343-nucleotide RNA transcript. It is a transcript of the gene named proton pump-interactor 1, with no coding region annotated. The record is from RefSeq and is a predicted model, not a curated record. The transcript has 9 exons. NCBI's taxonomy places the organism in Eukaryota, Viridiplantae, Streptophyta, Magnoliopsida, Zingiberales, Musaceae.